GGCAUAAGCAGGAGUGCCUGGGCAUGGGCUGGGAGUUCUUCUUUCUUGGCCUGUUUUCAGUGCAGGUGAAUUUGGUCAACACAAAGUAAAAACAAACAAACAAAACCAAACCAACUAAUAAACCCCAAACCCUCUAAUCUGUUUAAUUUCCCACAGGUUUUUAACUUAAAACUUUGACUUUUCUGCUCAGUUUUUAUCUGCUGAACUUCUGAAACUCAAUUUAAGCUUUACUAGAGUAAAAUAGUCUUUUCAUGUAACAAACUGCUCACAAAUUUACAAUUACCAAGUGAUCCUUUCCCAGGAGGAUGUAUCUCUGUCUCCACACUGCAUCUUGUAGGUGUCACUGAAGCCCAGUUUGUGUAGGAACUCUUCCUUCUAAAAAUUCACUUUCAGCUUUAGGUGGUUUUUCUUCUGUGCUGCAAAGUGGACAAAAUAACUGGGAGAAUAAAGCAUUUGUCUUGCAGGAUCACACUGAGGGGAGAUGAUCACACUGAGAGGAGACAUGACUUCUGUUCUGUGUGCAAAUACACCUUUUGUUCCCUCAGCAGAGUAAUGAAUAAAAUAAUAAUGCAUUUGAGUUAUUUUUUUCCUCUUUCACAGGUUGGACAAUAGCUUAGGAGUGCUGAUGUUCCACUGUGUGCUAUUAAACAAAACCAUGCAAAUUCUUGAGACUUUUUUUUUUUUUCUUCUUGUGCAGUUUAGGAUCAUUUAGGAGGUUUUAAACUUCCAGGUAGCUCAAGAAAACCAGGACAGACUUACUUCAGAGCCUGUUCAGAGUCUGCUGCUUCACUUCUGGACACACAUUGGGAGCAAGGCUCUGGAAAGAUGAGCACGUAAUUAAGGCAGAGGAAGGAUCACGUGCUGGGUGUUCUGGCAAGGACAGGAACGUGCACGAGGGUGCUCCUCUUCUGUCAAGGCUUUGUUUGAAGAGCAGUCUGAAAACAUCAGUGUAUAUUGGGAUGAAGUACUAGUAAAACAUAUGUUUAUAAAAACUGCUUUUCUCCAAACAUUUUCAAUUAUCUUAUGAAUUACCUGGACAAAAGAGUUUUCCCUCCCAGCCCUGUUUUCAAGCUGUCCCUGCUGAGGAGGGGGUUGUAAGUCACACAUCUGUCUGGCAAGUAUUUUCAUUUCAGUGUU
Molecule: long non-coding RNA, 1137 nt
Filed under: Manacus vitellinus (golden-collared manakin)
Lineage: Eukaryota; Metazoa; Chordata; Aves; Passeriformes; Pipridae
Description: lncRNA (ENSMVIG00005019433.1)
Source: RNAcentral